AGAGUUUGAUCCUGGCUCAGAAUCAACGCUGGCGGCGUGCCUAACACAUGCAAGUCGAACGCGAAAACCCCGCAAGGGGUUAGUAGAGUGGCAAACGGGUGAGUAACGCGUGGGUGACCUACCUCAGAGUGGGGGAUAACCUUCCGAAAGGAGGGCUAAUACCGCAUGACAUACCGUGGUUGGAUACACGGAUAUCAAAGCCGGGGAUCGCAAGACCUGGCGCUUGGAGAGGGGCCCGCGUCCGAUUAGCUAGUUGGUGAGGUCACGGCUCACCAAGGCGACGAUCGGUAUCCGGCCUGAGAGGGCGGACGGACACACUGGGACUGAGACACGGCCCAGACUCCUACGGGAGGCAGCAGUGGGGAAUUGUUCGCAAUGGGCGCAAGCCUGACGACGCAACGCCGCGUGGAGGAUGAAGACCUUCGGGUCGUAAACUCCUUUCGACCGAGAUGAAUUCCCGCCGGCCUAACAUGCCGGCGGGGUGACAGUAUCGAGGGAAGAAGCCCCGGCUAACUCCGUGCCAGCAGCCGCGGUAAUACGGGGGGGGCAAGCGUUGUUCGGAAUUACUGGGCGUAAAGGGUUCGUAGGUGGCCUGCUAAGUCAGACGUGAAAUCCCUCAGCUUAACUGGGGAACUGCGUCUGAGACUGGUGGGCUUGAGGGCAGGAGAGGAACGUGGAAUUCCAGGUGUAGCGGUGAAAUGCGUAGAUAUCUGGAGGAACACCGGUGGCGAAGGCGGCGUUCUGGACUGCAUCUGACACUGAGGAACGAAAGCCAGGGGAGCAAACGGGAUUAGAUACCCCGGUAGUCCUGGCCCUAAACGAUGAAUGCUUGGUGUGGCGGGUAUCGAUCCCUGCCGUGCCGCAGUUAACGCGUUAAGCAUUCCGCCUGGGGAGUACGGUCGCAAGGCUGAAACUUAAAGGAAUUGACGG
This 930-nucleotide ribosomal RNA is filed under the name uncultured bacterium. RNAcentral's name for it is "bacterial SSU rRNA". It matches the Rfam family "Bacterial small subunit ribosomal RNA", at positions 8 to 916 of the family's 1533-position model. The record is from RNAcentral.